Molecule: long non-coding RNA, 213 nt
Organism: Thalassophryne amazonica
Lineage: Eukaryota; Metazoa; Chordata; Actinopteri; Batrachoidiformes; Batrachoididae
Exons: 3
Source: RefSeq, a predicted model, not a curated record
GAAGGAAUGAUUGCAGACCAGGAAGAAGAAAUGAGUCAUUUAAAAGAAGAGUACAAAAGAGAGCCUAAUAUACUAUCCCUGCCUGGAGAACUAGAGGACUUAAAGAAAUCACAGUCCAGAUUUUUGUGGCACUCCAUAACUCUCUCUGUAUAUUGACAUACAGUCGGUGGUGGUGGUGAAAGAAGAAACUCUCCCUGAACACCAGGAAUGGAA